GCGGCAGUGGUGUAGUGGUAUCACAUGGCCUUGCCAAGGCCAUAACCCGGGUUCGAGUCCCGGCUGCCGCA
This 71-nucleotide transfer RNA is filed under the name Methanobacteriota archaeon. RNAcentral describes it as "tRNA-Gly". It matches the Rfam family "tRNA". Rfam says of the family: Transfer RNA (tRNA) molecules are approximately 80 nucleotides in length. RNAcentral also lists the same sequence under 1 other name. Lineage: Archaea; Methanobacteriati; Methanobacteriota. The record is from RNAcentral.